UGGACCAAUGAUGAUAUUGUAACCUGAAUCUAGGAUUAUGACAGACCCCAGUUCUGUACAUCUGAGGUCCAA
Diceros bicornis minor is the source of this 72-nucleotide small nucleolar RNA. RefSeq annotates it as small nucleolar RNA SNORD113/SNORD114 family. The transcript has a single exon. The record is from RefSeq and is a predicted model, not a curated record. Lineage: Eukaryota; Metazoa; Chordata; Mammalia; Perissodactyla; Rhinocerotidae.